CACCAGCGCAUGGGUGACUAUGCGGCUUUGUAAACCCUACCGGAAGCAACGCCUAUAUGGGACGUACAGCGCUGCUCGCGUGUCCCGAAGGCGGCACGAGCCUGUCAGCAAUGGCAGGCCUAGACAGAUCGUCGUUUAAUACAGAACCCGGCUUACGGUCCAUCUCGUUUU
This 171-nucleotide RNase P RNA is filed under the name Faecalibacterium prausnitzii. Its description in RNAcentral is "partial RNase P RNA component class A". It matches the Rfam family "Bacterial RNase P class A", at positions 176 to 367 of the family's 367-position model. Rfam says of the family: Ribonuclease P (RNase P) is a ubiquitous endoribonuclease, found in archaea, bacteria and eukarya as well as chloroplasts and mitochondria. Its best characterised activity is the generation of mature 5'-ends of tRNAs by cleaving the 5'-leader elements of precursor-tRNAs. Cellular RNase Ps are ribonucleoproteins. The record is from RNAcentral. Lineage: Bacteria; Bacillati; Bacillota; Clostridia; Eubacteriales; Oscillospiraceae.